Molecule: long non-coding RNA, 1132 nt
Organism: Cydia splendana
Lineage: Eukaryota; Metazoa; Arthropoda; Insecta; Lepidoptera; Tortricidae
Exons: 4
Source: RefSeq, a predicted model, not a curated record
CAAAAUAAAACUCCUGUCAAACGUGUAAAAUGAGCGAAAUAAUCAAAAUAUUUGGUAACUUUGUCAAAAUGAUUAAACGAGAUACUAUUUUCCUGGUGUAGCAGCAGUAGGGAUACAACGAGGAAAAAGCUAUACGGGCAGCGACCUCGUAUGGCAGAUGCGCGGCUCCUUGCUGGGGCCAUUCCAACAUGGUGCCUUCGCCUUGCCGGCAUCAACCGUCGCCAACUUCUUGCACUCCGUACCCUUAUACAAAAUUAAACUUGGGUACCACAAUUACAAUCUCACGGUAGGAUGGAGGAAAUGAAAAGCUGGUUUUUCGGAUUCGAGUACCUGGAUUACUUCUGGGCGAUUCUAUUAUCGUUUAUAAUGGAAAGAAUCUGCUGCUUGCAAGAACAAUUUACCAGAGACUAUAUAGUGCUCCCAGACCCACCGACAAAUGACGACGACUCAUAUCAUUCAAUAAACUUAGAAGAAUUCUCAGAUAGAGAUGGUUCACUGAAGCUAAGUUUUCUGCGGCUGUGCCAGUUAUCACAGGUGACCAUAUUCCUGACACUCGUCUACUUCUUCAACAUUUGCUUCUGGUUUGUACUGACGAAGAAGGCUUUGCCCAAGUACAGUAGCGUACAGUGCACAGUGCUCACAAGCAAGGUCGCGCGCCGGGUGCACGCAGCCGCAGUGCCGGAAGGAGUCUUGGGUGCUCUCAGCCAGCUUGCACGCUCCGUAAGAGUAUACCUAAAAACUCGAAACACUUACUUUAUAUAGUACAUUUACUUUUUAAUAGUAAUAUGAAAACUUUGUAAUCAGACAAAACAAUAAAGAAAGAACAAGGCGUACCUACAAUUUUUACGGCUAUCGAGUACCUACGUACUUUCUUCUUCGUCAACUUAAUGAUUCACACUAGGUAUUAGUAUCUAUGUAGGUUUAUUUGUAUUAAGUAUAUGUGUAAGUUUAUCAACAUACUUAAAAUUCAUAUAUGUAUAGUUUUGGUUACAAAUUCAUUUACUUUAAAGACACUGCACCUACUUAAUCUUUCUGGUUUGACCCAUUGGUUGACUGGUAGAGAAUGCCUUAAGGCAUUAAGUCCGCCAUUUGUACUUUCAUGUAUUGUGCAAUAAAGAUUAAAAUAAAUAAA